UACGUAGGGGGCUAGCGUUGUCCGGAUUUAUUGGGCGUAAAGAGCGUGUAGGCGGCCAGGUAGGUCCGUUGUGAAAACUCGAGGCUCAACCUCGAGACGUCGGCGGAAACCCUCUGGCUAGAGUCCGGAAGAGGAGAGUGGAAUUCCUGGUGUAGCGGUGAAAUGCGCAGAUAUCAGGAGGAACACCAAUUGCGAAGGCAGCUCGCUGGGACGUUACUGACGCUGAGACGCGAAAGCGUGGGGAGCAAACAGG
This 253-nucleotide ribosomal RNA is filed under the name uncultured bacterium. RNAcentral's name for it is "partial 16S ribosomal RNA". It matches the Rfam family "Bacterial small subunit ribosomal RNA", at positions 524 to 776 of the family's 1533-position model. The record is from RNAcentral.